Molecule: ribosomal RNA, 497 nt
Filed under: uncultured bacterium
Lineage: Bacteria
Description: partial 16S ribosomal RNA
Rfam family: Bacterial small subunit ribosomal RNA
Source: RNAcentral
GAUGAACGCUGGCGGCGUGCCUAAUACAUGCAAGUCGAGCGAACAGACGAGGAGCUUGCUCCUCUGACGUUAGCGGCGGACGGGUGAGUAACACGUGGAUAACCUACCUAUAAGACUGGGAUAACUUCGGGAAACCGGCGCUAAUACCGGAUAACAUGUUGAACCGCAUGGUUCAACAGUGAAAGACGGUUUUGCUGUCACUUCUAGAUGGAUCCGCGCCGCCUUAGCUAGUUGGUAAGGUAACGGCUUACCAAGGCAACGAUGCGUAGCCGACCUGAGAGGGUGAUCGGCCACACUGGAACUGAGACACGGUCCAGACGCCUACGGGAGGCAGCAGUAGGGAAUCUUCCGCAAUGGGCGAAAGCCUGACGGAGCAACGCCGCGUGAGUGAAGAAGGUCUUCGGAUCGUAAAACUCUGUUAUUAGGGAAGAACAAAUGUGUAAGUAACUAUGCACGUCUUGACGGUACCUAAUCAGAAAGCCACGGCUAACUACGUG